GAUGAAGAACGUAGUGAAAUGCGAUAAGUAAUGUGAAUUGCAGAAUUCAGUGAAUCAUCGAAUCUUUGAACGCACCUUGCGCUCCCUGGUAUUCCGAGGAGCAUGCCUGUUUGAGUGUCAUCUAAAUCCUCAAACCACAUUGAUUCUUUCGGUGUGGCUUUGGAAGUGGGGGUAGUGUUUGCAGGUUUUAUCUUAAGUCUGCUCCCCUGAAAUGCAUUAGUGGUAUCUGAGCAGAAGGAACUACUACAGGUGUGAUAAUUUAUCUAUGCCUUAGUAUACUGCAUAAAACAGAUUACACUGCUUAUAACAAACUUUAUUUCUUUUUUUUGGAGACCUCAAAUCAGGUAGGACUACCCGCUGAACUUAAGCAUAUCAAUAAGCGGAGGA
This 387-nucleotide unclassified non-coding RNA is filed under the name soil metagenome. Its description in RNAcentral is "partial contains 5.8S ribosomal RNA, internal transcribed spacer 2, and large subunit ribosomal RNA". The stretch from base 1 to 120 matches the Rfam family "5.8S ribosomal RNA", at positions 35 to 154 of the family's 154-position model. The record is from RNAcentral.